GAUGCAUCGACUGUCGACCGCGCUCCUCUUCAAUUUUGUCCCCCGCGGUCGUUACGUCCCGGGGGUGCGAUCGGGAUCCUGUGCUGCGUACCUAAAUCGAUGGAAUCCGGAUGCUUCGUCGACCCUCAUCCGUCUCGUGCCCCCAGAGGCUACGAGGCGGACGCGAUCUUGCCCGUUGUUCCAAGCGUGCCUCGUUUUUGACGUGGUCGUCUGGGUGCAUCGGUGUCGGAUCGUGCUUAUGGAUGCGAAAAAUUUUGUGGGCGUGGGGUCAUGGCCCCGUUCGAUCGAU
This 289-nucleotide unclassified non-coding RNA is filed under the name Bernoullia flammea. RNAcentral describes it as "partial external transcribed spacer". Lineage: Eukaryota; Viridiplantae; Streptophyta; Magnoliopsida; Malvales; Malvaceae. The record is from RNAcentral.